UUGCUUCAGCAGCACAUAUACUAAAAUUAGAACGACAAAAGAAGAUUAACAUGUCCCCAGUGCAUGUAUGACAUAGACAUUAGUGAAGCGUUUCAUAAAUUU
This is a small nuclear RNA of Sorex fumeus (smoky shrew), 102 nucleotides long. The record is from RefSeq and is a predicted model, not a curated record. Lineage: Eukaryota; Metazoa; Chordata; Mammalia; Eulipotyphla; Soricidae.